RNAcentral lists this ribosomal RNA (320 nucleotides) under uncultured eukaryote. RNAcentral's name for it is "partial 18S ribosomal RNA". It matches the Rfam family "Eukaryotic small subunit ribosomal RNA", at positions 1470 to 1796 of the family's 1831-position model. The record is from RNAcentral.
CCCCUAGAUGUUCUGGGCCGCACGCGCGCUACACUGAACAGUUCAACAAGUCUUAACCUUGGCCGAUAGGUCUGGGUAAUUUUUGAACGCUGUUCGUGAUUGGGAUAGACCUUUGCAAUUAUGGGUCUUCAACGAGGAAUUCCUAGUAAACGCAAGUCAUCAGCUUGCAUUGAUUACGUCCCUGCCCUUUGUACACACCGCCCGUCGCACCUACCGAUUGAAUGGUCCGGUGAAAUCUCGGGACGGCGGCUUGGUCGCUUGCGUCCGACUGCUGAAACUUGAUUAAACCAUAUCAUUUAGAGGAAGGUGAAGUCGUANCA